This 211-nucleotide ribosomal RNA is filed under the name uncultured bacterium. RNAcentral's name for it is "partial 16S ribosomal RNA". It matches the Rfam family "Bacterial small subunit ribosomal RNA", at positions 584 to 793 of the family's 1533-position model. The record is from RNAcentral.
UAAGUCAGUGGUGAAAUCCCAUCGCUUAACGAUGGAACUGCCAUUGAUACUGUUAGUCUUGAAUGAGGGUGCAGUGGUUGGAAUGUGUAGUGUAGCGGUGAAAUAGCAUAGAUAUUACACAGAACACCGAUUGCGAAGGCAGAUCACUAACCCUAAAUUGACGCUGAGGGACGAAAGCGUGGGGAGCGAACAGGAUUAGAUACCCUGGUAG